This 693-nucleotide ribosomal RNA is filed under the name bacterium Riz6. RNAcentral describes it as "bacterial SSU rRNA". It matches the Rfam family "Bacterial small subunit ribosomal RNA", at positions 62 to 749 of the family's 1533-position model. The record is from RNAcentral.
UCGAGCGGAUGACGGGAGCUUGCUCCUUGAUUCGGCGGCGGACGGGUGAGUAUGGCCUAGGAAUCUGCCUGGUAGUGGGGGACAACGUUUCGAAAGGAACGCUAAUACCGCAUACGUCCUACGGGAGAAAGCAGGGGACCUUCGGGCCUUGCGCUAUCAGAUGAGCCUAGGUCGGAUUAGCUAGUUGGUGGGGUAAUGGCUCACCAAGGCGACGAUCCGUAACUGGUCUGAGAGGAUGAUCAGUCACACUGGAACUGAGACACGGUCCAGACUCCUACGGGAGGCAGCAGUGGGGAAUAUUGGACAAUGGGCGAAAGCCUGAUCCAGCCAUGCCGCGUGUGUGAAGAAGGUCUUCGGAUUGUAAAGCACUUUAAGUUGGGAGGAAGGGCAGUAAGCUAAUACCUUGCUGUUUUGACGUUACCGACAGAAUAAGCACCGGCUAACUCUGUGCCAGCAGCCGCGGUAAUACAGAGGGUGCAAGCGUUAAUCGGAAUUACUGGGCGUAAAGCGCGCGUAGGUGGUUUGUUAAGUUGGAUGUGAAAGCCCCGGGCUCAACCUGGGAACUGCAUCCAAAACUGGCAAGCUAGAGUACGGUAGAGGGUGGUGGAAUUUCCUGUGUAGCGGUGAAAUGCGUAGAUAUAGGAAGGAACACCAGUGGGCGAAGGCGACCACCUGGACUGAUACUGACACUGA